UACGGAGGAUGCGAGCGUUAUCCGGAUUUAUUGGGUUUAAAGGGUGCGUAGGCGGACGCUUAAGUCAGCGGUAAAAUUGCGGGGCUCAACCUCGUCGAGCCGUUGAAACUGGGUGCCCUGAGUAGGCGAGAAGUACGCGGAAUGCGUGGUGUAGCGGUGAAAUGCAUAGAUAUCACGCAGAACUCCGAUUGCGAAGGCAGCGUACCGGCGCCCAACUGACGCUGAAGCACGAAGGCGUGGGUAUCGAACAGG
RNAcentral lists this ribosomal RNA (252 nucleotides) under uncultured bacterium. RNAcentral's name for it is "partial 16S ribosomal RNA". It matches the Rfam family "Bacterial small subunit ribosomal RNA", at positions 524 to 776 of the family's 1533-position model. The record is from RNAcentral.